UACGUAGGUGGCGAGCGUUGUCCGGAUUUACUGGGCGUAAAGAGCGCGCAGGCGGUCGUACAAGUCGCGUGUGAAAGCCCCCCGGCUCAACUGGGGAGGGUCACGCGAUACUGUUCGACUCGAAGGCAGGAGAGGGUAGUGGAAUUCCCGGUGUAGUGGUGAAAUGCGUAGAUAUCGGGAGGAACACCAGUGGCGAAGGCGACUACCUGGCCUGUUCUUGACGCUGAGGCGCGAAAGCGUGGGGAGCAAACAGGG
RNAcentral lists this ribosomal RNA (255 nucleotides) under uncultured bacterium. RNAcentral describes it as "partial 16S ribosomal RNA". It matches the Rfam family "Bacterial small subunit ribosomal RNA", at positions 524 to 777 of the family's 1533-position model. The record is from RNAcentral.